RNAcentral lists this ribosomal RNA (447 nucleotides) under uncultured bacterium. Its description in RNAcentral is "bacterial SSU rRNA". It matches the Rfam family "Bacterial small subunit ribosomal RNA", at positions 29 to 524 of the family's 1533-position model. The record is from RNAcentral.
AACGAACGCUGGCGGCAGGCUUAACACAUGCAAGUCGAACGCCCCGCAAGGGGAGUGGCAGACGGGUGAGUAACACGUGGGAACGUGCCCUUCGCUUCGGGAUAGCCUCGGGAAACUGGGAGUAAUACCGAAUACGCCGUAUUGGGAAAGAUAUAUCGGCGAAGGAUCGGCCCGCGUUGGAUUAGCUAGUUGGCGGUGUAAUGGACCACCAAGGCUACGAUCCAUAGCUGGUCUGAGAGGACGACCAGCCACACUGGGACUGGGACACGGCCCAGACUCCUACGGGAGGCAGCAGUGGGGAAUCUUGGACAAUGGGCGCAAGCCUGAUCCAGCCAUGCCGCGUGAGUGAAGAAGGCCUUAGGGUUGUAAAACUCUUUCGCCGGUGAAGAUAAUGACGGUAACCGGAGAAGAAGCCCCGGCUAACUUCGUGCCAGCAGCCGCGGUAAU